RNAcentral lists this ribosomal RNA (474 nucleotides) under uncultured bacterium. RNAcentral describes it as "partial 16S ribosomal RNA". It matches the Rfam family "Bacterial small subunit ribosomal RNA", at positions 28 to 507 of the family's 1533-position model. The record is from RNAcentral.
GACGAACGCUGGCGGCGUGCUUAACACAUGCAAGUCGAACGGUAAGGCCCUUCGGGGUACACGAGUGGCUAACGGGUGAGUAACACGUGGGUAAUCUGCCCUGCACAUCGUGAUAAGCCUGGGAAACUGGGUCUAAUACCGAAUAGGACCACAGGACACAUGUCCUGUUGUGGAAAGCUUUUGCGGUGUGGGUUGGGCCCGCGGCCUAUCAGCUUGUUGGUGGGGUGAUGGCCUACCAAGGCGACGACGGGUAGCCGGCCUGAGAGGGUGUCCGGCCACACUGGGACUGACAUAAGGCCCAGACUACUACGGGAGGCAGCAGUGGGGAAUAUUGCACAAUGGGCGAAAGAGUGAUGCAGCGACGCCGCGUGGGGGAUGACGGCCUUAGGGUUGUAAAACUAUUUAACAAUCGACGAAGGUCCGGGUUUUCUCGGGCUGACGGUAGGUGGAGAAGAAGCACCGGCCAACUACGUG